UUCUGGUUGAUCCUGCCGGAGGCUACCGCUAUUGGAGUUCGAUUAAGCCAUGCGAGUCGCGAGAAAUUAGAUUCUCGGCGUACCGCUCAGUAACACGUGGGUAACCUGCCCUAUGCUGGAUAAUAACCUCGGGAAACUGAGAAUAAUGAUCCAUAGUUCACUACGCCUGGAACGGUGAGUGGAUGAAAGCUCCGGCGGCAUAGGAUGGGCCUGCGGCGUAUCAGGUUGUAGGGGGUGUAACGUACCCUCUAGCCCUCUACGCGUACGGGUGUUGGGAGACAUAGCCCGGAGAUGGAUUCUGAGACACGAAUCCAGACCCUACGGGGUGCAGCAGGCGCGAAAACUUGGCAAUGCGAGAAAUCGUGACCAGGGAACUCCAAGUGCAUCGGGUAAGACCGGUGCUUUUCUUGACUCUAAAUAGGUCUUGGAAUAAGGGGUGGGUAAGGACGGUGCCAGCCGCCGCGGUAAUACCGGCGCCUCAAGUGGUAGUCGCUUUUAUUGGGCCUAAAACGUCCGUAGCCGGUCUGAUACAUUCGUGGGUAAAUCAACCAGCUCAACUGGUUGAAUUCUGCGAGGACGGUCAGACUUGGGACCGGGAGAGGUGUGGGGUACGCUCAGGGUAGGGGUAAAAUCCUGUCAUCCUGAGCGGACCACCUGUUGCGAAGGCGCCACACUAGAACGGAUCCGACGGUCAGGGACGAAGCCUAGGGGCACGAACCGGAUUAGAUACCCGGGUAGUC
RNAcentral lists this ribosomal RNA (740 nucleotides) under uncultured Candidatus Poseidoniales archaeon. Its description in RNAcentral is "bacterial SSU rRNA". It matches the Rfam family "Archaeal small subunit ribosomal RNA", at positions 1 to 746 of the family's 1478-position model. The record is from RNAcentral. Lineage: Archaea; Methanobacteriati; Thermoplasmatota; Candidatus Poseidoniia; Candidatus Poseidoniales.